RNAcentral lists this ribosomal RNA (471 nucleotides) under uncultured Bacillota bacterium. Its description in RNAcentral is "bacterial SSU rRNA". It matches the Rfam family "Bacterial small subunit ribosomal RNA", at positions 8 to 496 of the family's 1533-position model. Lineage: Bacteria; Bacillati; Bacillota. The record is from RNAcentral.
AGAGUUUGAUCCUGGCUCAGGACGAACGCUGGCGGCGUGCUUAACACAUGCAAGUCGAGCGAUGAAGUUCCUUCGGGAAUGGAUUAGCGGCGGACGGGUGAGUAACACGUGGGUAACCUGCCUCAUAGAGGGGAAUAGCCUUUCGAAAGGAAGAUUAAUACCGCAUAAGAUUGUAGUAUCGCAUGAUACAGCAAUUAAAGGAGUAAUCCGCUAUGAGGUGGACCCGCGUCGCAUUAGCUAGUUGGUGAGGUAACGGCUCACCAAGGCGACGAUGCGUAGCCGACCUGAGAGGGUGAUCGGCCACAUUGGGACUGAGACACGGCCCAGACUCCUACGGGAGGCAGCAGUGGGGAAUAUUGCACAAUGGGGGAAACCCUGAUGCAGCAACGCCGCGUGAGUGAUGACGGUCUUCGGAUUGUAAAACUCUGUCUUCAGGGACGAUAAUGACGGUACCUGAGGAGGAAGCCACGG